AGGGAUAUAACUCAGUGGUAGAGUAUCACCUUGACGUGGUGAUAGUCAUCGGUUCGAAUCCGAUUAUCCCUA
This 72-nucleotide transfer RNA is filed under the name Afrocarpus falcatus (outeniqua yellowwood). RNAcentral describes it as "tRNA-Val". It matches the Rfam family "tRNA". Rfam says of the family: Transfer RNA (tRNA) molecules are approximately 80 nucleotides in length. Their secondary structure includes four short double-helical elements and three loops (D, anti-codon, and T loops). Further hydrogen bonds mediate the characteristic L-shaped molecular structure. tRNAs have two regions of fundamental functional importance: the anti-codon, which is responsible for specific mRNA codon recognition, and the 3' end, to which the tRNAs corresponding amino acid is attached (by aminoacyl-tRNA synthetases). tRNAs cope with the degeneracy of the genetic code in two manners: having more than one tRNA (with a specific anti-codon) for a particular amino acid; and 'wobble' base-pairing, i.e. permitting non-standard base-pairing at the 3rd anti-codon position. Lineage: Eukaryota; Viridiplantae; Streptophyta; Pinopsida; Araucariales; Podocarpaceae. The record is from RNAcentral. RNAcentral also lists the same sequence under 10 other names.